Molecule: non-coding RNA, 206 nt
Organism: Pelobates cultripes (western spadefoot toad)
Lineage: Eukaryota; Metazoa; Chordata; Amphibia; Anura; Pelobatidae
Source: the annotation of a GenBank genome assembly
CUCACUUUGCCCUGAGCAUGCCGUCCACUGCUAGCAACUUAUUUUAGAUCCUCUUUGCUUUAUUUUUACACGUGGGUGAUCUUUUUGUUUUUUGCACUUAUUUUGUACACGUUUUGUAGCAACCACUGGAGACACUGCAAACCACACUUCCACGUCAUAAGUCAUGUGUCUUCUGGAUGAUGAGCUACACACUCGUUAUUGGUGAG